CAGCAGCCGCGGGAAUACGGAGGGUGCAAGCGUUAAUCGGAAUUACUGGGCGUAAAGCGCAUGCAGGCGGUCUGACAAGUCAGAUGUGAAAUCCCCGGGCUUAACCUGGGAACUGCAUUUGAAACUGUCAGGCUGGAGUCUUGUAGAGGGGGGUGGAAUUCCAGGUGUAGCGGUGAAAUGCGUAGAGAUCUGGAGGAAUACCGGUGGCGAAGGCGGCCCCCUGGACAAAGACUGACGCUCAGGUGCGAAAGCGUGGGGAGCAAACAGGAUUAGAUACCCCUGUAGUCCCUGUCUCUUAUAC
RNAcentral lists this ribosomal RNA (301 nucleotides) under uncultured bacterium. RNAcentral describes it as "partial 16S ribosomal RNA". It matches the Rfam family "Bacterial small subunit ribosomal RNA", at positions 509 to 807 of the family's 1533-position model. The record is from RNAcentral.